GCAGAGAACUCCCCUCGUACCUUUUGCAUCAUGAUUAGAAAGGGAAAUACAUGCAAAGAGACCUCUAGUUUGUAACCUCGAAACCCGACGAGCUACUUCGAGACAGCCUAUCCAGGGCCAACCCGUCUCUGUGGCAAAAGAGUGGGAAGAUCUCCAAGUAGAAGCAAAAGACCUACCGAGCCGGGUUAUAGCUAGUUGCCCAACAAAUGAAUAAAAGUUCAGCCCCGCUAGGCCCAAAUCACAACAGUUACACACCAAAAGACGAAGCGCCACUAGACGGGAGUUAGUCAGAGGAGGUACAGCUCCCCUGACCAAGGACACAACCUUUUAAGGAGAUUAAGGAAUACAUAAAAAUCAAGGCCACAGGCCUCAGUGGGCCUAAAAGCAGCCACCUGAACAGAAAGCGUUAAAGCUCAGACCAAAUAAAGCCUAUCAUCACAUUAACUACUCCAAAAUCCCCUAUCGCACUGGGCCUUUCUAUGCCCCCAUAGAAAAGACUAUGCUGAAAUGAGUAACAAGAAGACCGAACUUCUCCCCGCACAAACGUAAAUCGAAUUGGACCAUCCACCCGAUAAUUAACGAACCCAAUAACAGAGGGCAAUACACCACCGCCACCGCAAACCAAGAAAACCGUGUUCUACACCAAUCGUUACCCCUACACAGGAGUGCUAAACCAAGGAAAGAAUAAAAGAAAAAAAAGGAACUCGGCAAACCUAAACCCUUUCCUUUUACCAAAAACAUCGCCUCUUGCCCACACAGUAUAAGAGG
Molecule: ribosomal RNA, 768 nt
Filed under: Setipinna taty (scaly hairfin anchovy)
Lineage: Eukaryota; Metazoa; Chordata; Actinopteri; Clupeiformes; Engraulidae
Description: partial 16S ribosomal RNA
Rfam family: Bacterial large subunit ribosomal RNA (bases 1-507)
Source: RNAcentral